CGCAAGGGAUCAGUAGAGUGACAAACGGGUGAGUAACACGUGGGUGACCUGCCUUCGAGUGGGGGAUAACGUCCCGAAAGGGACGCUAAUACCGCAUGACAUCCUGCCUUUGAAGAGGUGGAGCUUAAAGCUGGGGAUCGCAAGACCUAGCGCUUGAAGAGGGGCCCGCGUCUGAUUAGCUAGUUGGUGAGGUAACGGCUCACCAAGGCAUCGAUCAGUAUCCGGCCUGAGAGGGCGGACGGACACACUGGGACUGAGACACGGCCCAGACUCCUACGGGAGGCAGCAGUGGGGAAUUGUUCGCAAUGGGCGCAAGCCUGACGACGCAACGCCGCGUGGAGGAUGAAGACCUUCGGGUCGUAAACUCCUUUCGAUCGAGACGAAUGGCCCUUGGGCUAAUCACCAGGGGAAUGACGGUACCGAGAGAAGAAGCCCCGGCUAACUCCGUGCCAGCAGCCGCGGUAAUACGGGGGGGCAAGCGUUGUUCGGAAUUACUGGGCGUAAAGGGCUCGUAGGCGGCCAACUAAGUCAGACGUGAAAUCCCUCGGCUUAACCGGGGAACUGCGUCUGAUACUGGAUGGCUUGAGAUUGGGAGAGGGAUGCGGAAUUCCAGGUGUAGCGGUGAAAUGCGUAGAUAUCUGGAGGAACACCGGUGGCGAAGGCGGCAUCCUGGACCACACUGACGCUGAGGAGCGAAAG
RNAcentral lists this ribosomal RNA (699 nucleotides) under uncultured bacterium. Its description in RNAcentral is "bacterial SSU rRNA". It matches the Rfam family "Bacterial small subunit ribosomal RNA", at positions 78 to 759 of the family's 1533-position model. The record is from RNAcentral.